CCCAGACUCCUACGGGAGGCAGCAGUGGGGAAUAUUGCACAAUGGGGGGAACCCUGAUGCAGCGACGCCGCGUGGGCGAGGAAGUAUUUCGGUAUGUAAAGCCCUAUCGGCAGGGAAGAAGAAAUGACGGUACCUGAAUAAGAAGCACCGGCUAAAUACGUGCCAGCAGCCGCGGGAAUACGUAUGGUGCAAGCGUUAUCCGGAUUUACUGGGCAUAAAGGGAGCGCAGGCGGCGCGCCAAGUCUGAUGUGAAACCCCGGGGCUCAACCCCGGGCAUGCAUUGGAAACUGGCGGGCUGGAGUGCCGGAGAGGUAAGCGGAAUUCCUAGUGUAGCGGUGAAAUGCGUAGAUAUUAGGAGGAACACCAGUGGCGAAGGCGGCUUACUGGACGGCAACUGACGCUGAGGCUCGAAAGCGUGGGGAGCAAACAGGAUUAGAUACCCGAGUAU
Molecule: ribosomal RNA, 448 nt
Filed under: uncultured bacterium
Lineage: Bacteria
Description: partial 16S ribosomal RNA
Rfam family: Bacterial small subunit ribosomal RNA
Source: RNAcentral